Molecule: long non-coding RNA, 710 nt
Filed under: Rattus norvegicus (Norway rat)
Lineage: Eukaryota; Metazoa; Chordata; Mammalia; Rodentia; Muridae
Description: long non-coding RNA NONRATT020327
Source: RNAcentral
GGAACUCACUAUGUAGACCAGGCUGGCCUCAAACUCAAAUGUUCAUCUGGCUCUGCCUCCCAGGUGUUGGGAUUAAAGGCAUGUACCACCAUGCUGGGCUGUGGUUUUUCAUUUUGUGUUUAUUUUUAGUGUGUGUGUGUGUGUGUGUGUGUGUGUGUGUGUGUGUAGACACAUACAUGCUUGCCCAAAUGUCUGUGGGCAUGUAGAGAUCAGAGGACAAUUUGUGGAAAUCAGGUCAACAUUCUUCUUUGGCUGGGUGAGUCCUGGGCUGGAACUUGGGUCGUGGAGCUUGGCAGCAGGCAGCUUUGCCUGUCCAGCCGUGCAGUUGGCCUUGCGAUUGUUCUUUAAGGGACUGAAAGGCUUCUGUGACAGGCGUGUGUGACAGUUGGUUUGGCUCUUUCAAGAACUUGAGGAUGAAAUGUUGCUUUAUAUGCCUCAGUGAAAUCACUUGUCCUUUUCUUUGCGUUCUACACUUCUGUGAGUGCGUUACUUAUGGAGAAAGGCUUUUCUUUCUUGCCUGGUUCCCAGGUACCUUCCAUUUCAUGCCACAGCAGCACACUUGUUCCCGGCAGCAAUCAAGGAUCCUAAAAUUAAACCAAAUGCUUCAAGUGGUACCAGUUAGACAGGAAGUCUGCUGAUUUUUUUUACCUACAGGGACAAAAUAAAAGGCGAAACCCAAGUUUUAUUAAAGCCGUACAACUUCUACCCAA